GCAGAUGUAGCUCAGUAGGUUAGAGCGCCUGAUUGUGGAUCAGGAGGUCCCCCGUUCAAAUCGGGGCAUCUGUA
RNAcentral lists this transfer RNA (74 nucleotides) under alpha proteobacterium IMCC14465. It matches the Rfam family "tRNA". Rfam says of the family: Transfer RNA (tRNA) molecules are approximately 80 nucleotides in length. Their secondary structure includes four short double-helical elements and three loops (D, anti-codon, and T loops). Further hydrogen bonds mediate the characteristic L-shaped molecular structure. tRNAs have two regions of fundamental functional importance: the anti-codon, which is responsible for specific mRNA codon recognition, and the 3' end, to which the tRNAs corresponding amino acid is attached (by aminoacyl-tRNA synthetases). tRNAs cope with the degeneracy of the genetic code in two manners: having more than one tRNA (with a specific anti-codon) for a particular amino acid; and 'wobble' base-pairing, i.e. permitting non-standard base-pairing at the 3rd anti-codon position. Lineage: Bacteria; Pseudomonadati; Pseudomonadota; Alphaproteobacteria. The record is from Rfam by way of RNAcentral.